AAUGGGAUACCUAAAUUUCCCAUGGCAAACUGCUCAGUAACACAUGAUCAACUUACCCUAUGGAGAAAAAUAACCUCGGGAAAUUGAGGAUAAUGUUUCAUAGUUGAAUAGGCUUGGAAAAGUUUUUCAAUAAAAAGGAAAAGGAUCAUGGUUCUUUUCUGCCAUAGGAUAGGAUCGUGGUCGAUUAUGGUUGUUGGCGAGGUAAAGGCUCACCAAGCCGAUAAUCGAUAGGGGCCGUGAGAGCGGGAGCCCCGAGAUGAGUACUGAGACAACGACCCAGACCUUACGAGGUGCAGCAGGCGCGAGACCUCCGCAAUACACGAAAGUGUGACCGGGUUACCCAAAGUGUUCAUAUUUGAACUGUGGUAGGUGAGUAAUGUCCCCUACUAGAAAGGAGAGGGCAAGGCUGGUGCCAGCCGCCGCGGUAAAACCAGCUCUUCAAGUGGUCGGGAUGAUUAUUGGGCUUAAAGUGUCCGUAGCCGGUUUAGUAAGUUCCUGGUAAAAUCAGGUAGCUUAACUAUCUGUGUGCUAGGAAUACUGCUAUACUAGAGGGCGGGAGAGGUCUGAGGUACUACAGGGGUAGGGGUGAAAUCUUAUAAUC
Molecule: ribosomal RNA, 601 nt
Filed under: uncultured archaeon
Lineage: Archaea
Description: bacterial SSU rRNA
Rfam family: Archaeal small subunit ribosomal RNA
Source: RNAcentral